CGCCCCUGCCGCUGCCGCUGCCCCUGCCGCGCCCCUGCCGCUGCCGCUGCCCCUGCCCCGGCCCUGCCCCUGCCGCUGCCCCUGCCCCGGCCCUGCCCCUGCCGCUGCCCCUGCCCCGGCCCUGCCCCUGCCGCGCCCCUGCCGCUGCCGCUGCCCCUGCCCCGGCCCUGCCCCUGCCGCUGCCCCUGCCGCUGCCCCUGCCCUGCCCCGCCCCUGCCCCUGCUCCUGCAGAUGUGAGCCCGGGCGCAGGCGCCUUCCGAGCCCAACAAACUCCCCGACCAGUGCGGGGCACCCGUGGGGAGGCGGGGGCCGUGCCACGGAAUUGGGGGCUUCUGUUCCGUGUGCUGUCGUUCCUCUCUCGUCAAAAGAAAGCCACUGGCGCGCCGGGACGCGGGGGCUGUUAAAACACCGACAAGCUCAAAAGCGAAAAUAUCGCGAUACAUUCUGAGAGCCGAGCGAUCUGGCGCAGACUCAAACGGGAGCCGAGACGACGGGCGGAUGGCAUCGCGAGACGUCUGGGAAGCGCGAGACUUGGGGCUCGCCGCGAAGGCGGCGCCGAGGCGGGGCGGGGCGGAGAGGUGGCGGGUCCCUGCCCGCGGCCUCGGGCGGCCGGCUCGGCCCGGCCCGCGUCCCGCCCCGCAGAGUCCUGCGGCAGGUGCCGCCGCCGCGCCCGGAGGGAGGCCCGCGCGGGCCGUCCGUGCUGCCCCGCGUUUUCAGGCCGCGGCGCCGCUGCCGAGCGUUUCGUCCGUGCCGUGCCUCCUGGUCCGCCCGCGCCCCGUCCUGACGGAGCGGGACCGGCCGCCCGGCCCUCCUGCGCGGCCCCCUGUUAGUCCGCUGUGCCCGCCCCGGGGCCCGGCCCCGACGGCGCGGGAGCGCGCUCGCCGCCGAGUCCCUGCGAGUGCGCGCAACGCGAGGGACGCCGCGGGCGGGGGAGGCGGCCUGGUCCCCGACGGGCUCCCCGGGGGCGCUGUCGGGACGAGGGCCCCGGUGUGACCCCAGACGCGGGGGCCGACGGGUGUGCGCGCCGCCCGACGGCCCGACCGCGGGGAGGCGGGCGGACGGCGUCUCCGCGGCCGCUCAGCGCGCGCGGGCGACGCAGAGCCGACCUGCUGCGCGUGGGGCCCCGGUCCUCCCGUCGCCGCUGCGAGCCGAGCGGGCAGGGGCUUCGGGAGACCCGGCUGAGUUCGAGAAAGGCCCGUAGUGGGAGGGAGAGGAGGCGGUUCCCCGGAAGAUUCUAGAAGGAAAAAAGGAGGAUGCUCCCAGCUUUUCAGGUCUGGCUCGCACAUUGGCUUUUUCGGUUUUAAAACAAGAGCCAGAAAACGUGACUACAGAAUUUUUACAAAACCACAGCUUAAGAGGCACUUCCCCUUUCUGUUUUACGCGCUAAUGCCUCUUGGAAUUACCGGGAAGAGACUUAACUUGCUUCACCCUUUCCUUGGUCCUCCCCCUUGGGAGAAAAAUGUGAGGAAGAGUAACAGUUCUCCUUCCUUGACCCGCAUUUUUGGGCGACCCUGAUGCUCAGCUGUGCUCCCGUGGUCUCUGGCUUUUGCGCUGCUGUUUAACAGAGCUCGUGAGCCUUCCCAGAGCCGCGGGGCCAGCGUGUCCGCUGGGUUCCCGGUAUAGACGUGGGGCGAAGGGGUAGCGGUGGCCCGUUUUAGUUUCAGACCCAAACCGUGUUCUGCCAUCUGCAUUUGCCAGCCACAAGGUCGUAUUUUGUUUCUGCCACUGGUGUGUACCCCUAGUUUUCAAAUGGUUAAAAGACUGUUAAAAAAAAAAAAGUAAAUUGACGACUCUCAUACAAAUGAAAA
Molecule: long non-coding RNA, 1808 nt
Organism: Mirounga angustirostris (Northern elephant seal)
Lineage: Eukaryota; Metazoa; Chordata; Mammalia; Carnivora; Phocidae
Exons: 2
Source: RefSeq, a predicted model, not a curated record